GACGAACGCUGGCGGCGCGCCUAACACAUGCAAGUCGAACGAGAGAUGAGGAGCUUGCUCUUCAAAUCGAGUGGCGAACGGGUGAGUAACGCGUGAGGAACCUGCCUCAAAGAGGGGGACAACAGUUGGAAACGACUGCUAAUACCGCAUAAGCCCACGGCUCGGCAUCGAGCAGAGGGAAAAGGAGCAAUCCGCUUUGAGAUGGCCUCGCGUCCGAUUAGCUAGUUGGUGAGGUAACGGCCCACCAAGGCGACGAUCGGUAGCCGGCCUGAGAGGAUGAACGGCCACAUUGGGACUGAGAUACGGCCCAGACUCCUACGGGAGGCAGCAGUGGGGAAUAUUGGGCGAAUGGGGGAAACCCUGACCCAGCAACGCCGCGU
RNAcentral lists this ribosomal RNA (380 nucleotides) under uncultured bacterium. RNAcentral describes it as "bacterial SSU rRNA". It matches the Rfam family "Bacterial small subunit ribosomal RNA", at positions 28 to 402 of the family's 1533-position model. The record is from RNAcentral.